UACGGAGGGUGCAAGCGUUGUCCGGAUUUAUUGGGUUUAAAGGGUGCGUAGGCGGCCUUUUAAGUCAGUGGUGAAAUCCUGCAGCUUAACUGUAGAACAGCCAUUGAUACUGGAAGGCUUGAGUACAGACGAGGUAGGCGGAAUUUAUGGUGUAGCGGUGAAAUGCAUAGAUACCAUAAAGAACCCCUAUUGCGAAGGCAGCUUACUAGGCUGUAACUGACGCUGAGGCACGAAAGCGUGGGGAUCAAACAGG
This 253-nucleotide ribosomal RNA is filed under the name uncultured bacterium. RNAcentral's name for it is "partial 16S ribosomal RNA". It matches the Rfam family "Bacterial small subunit ribosomal RNA", at positions 524 to 776 of the family's 1533-position model. The record is from RNAcentral.